AUCAUCAUCAUUGUCAUAAGGUCGUCGGUCCUACGCAUUCUCCUAUUGCACUUGAUGACAUCCCCCGAGGUAAUUCCCGCUCGGACAUCCGAAUGACGGACUACCUUACGUCUGUGUGGUGGUUUCCCGUUGCCUUCCACAACGCAGUAAUGUGUAUCAGAGUGCCAUACAAACCCUUGUACUCUAUGCCACCCUGAGAGUACUGAAAGAGCUGCAACCCUAUUUCAGGGACUUGGGUCUUUCUUGACCUGAAAAGGGGAAGCAACUGGAAAUCAAUUUGGAUACCACUGAAACAACAAAUUGUAUGCAGUGAUAUUCCUUUUGGAUUUGGUUUGCUCAUCACACUUGUGGACUUUAGAACUCUACUUUCUACUGUUAAUUAAGGUCGACGGUGGAGAAGACAAAGAAGAUCCCGUAGUUAAAAUACUUUAUCUUGCAUGUUCUAUUAGACACA
Long non-coding RNA from Agrilus planipennis (emerald ash borer), 454 nucleotides. RefSeq lists it as uncharacterized. The transcript is spliced from 3 exons. NCBI's taxonomy places the organism in Eukaryota, Metazoa, Arthropoda, Insecta, Coleoptera, Buprestidae. The record is from RefSeq and is a predicted model, not a curated record.